AUAUCUCUCCGUACGGGAAGGAUGAGAAGCUUCGACCAAGGUUCGAUUCGAGCGCAGCGAGAAAGCGUUGCCGCAGGCAACGACCCGAAGGGUGAAGCGCGCAGCGC
RNAcentral lists this small RNA (107 nucleotides) under Salmonella enterica subsp. enterica serovar Abony. RNAcentral describes it as "partial RtT sRNA". It matches the Rfam family "RtT RNA", at positions 1 to 106 of the family's 130-position model. From Rfam's summary of the family: This family represents a bacterial cis-regulatory element known as RtT RNA. The exact function of RtT is unknown although it is thought that it may be involved in changing the cellular response in relation to amino acid starvation. Lineage: Bacteria; Pseudomonadati; Pseudomonadota; Gammaproteobacteria; Enterobacterales; Enterobacteriaceae. The record is from RNAcentral.